Molecule: small nucleolar RNA, 130 nt
Organism: Apodemus sylvaticus (European woodmouse)
Lineage: Eukaryota; Metazoa; Chordata; Mammalia; Rodentia; Muridae
Product: small nucleolar RNA SNORA17
Exons: 1
Source: RefSeq, a predicted model, not a curated record
CCUGCCCAUAGAGGCAUUGUAGGUGUGGCUGCUGUGUCACACAUGAGUCAGUAGGUGGGAGAAAGGAGACAGGCUAUGUCUACCCUCAGUGCUUAUCUGUGAACAUCUGAAUGAUUAGCAACCUAACAUU